UACGAAGGGGGCUAGCGUUGCUCGGAAUCACUGGGCGUAAAGGGUGCGUGGGCGGACUGAUAAGUCAGCGGUGAAAUCCCACGGCUCAACUGUGGAACUGCCGUUGAUACUGUUAGUCUUGAAUGCAGAUGAUGUGGGCGGAAUAUGACAUGUAGUGGUGAAAUACUUAGAUAUGUCAUAGAACACCGAUUGCGAAGGCAGCUCACAAAACUGUGAUUGACGCUGAGGCACGAAAGCGUGGGGAUCAAACAGG
Molecule: ribosomal RNA, 253 nt
Filed under: uncultured bacterium
Lineage: Bacteria
Description: partial 16S ribosomal RNA
Rfam family: Bacterial small subunit ribosomal RNA
Source: RNAcentral